UACCCGCAGCCCGAGUGGUGCUCGUUAUUAUUGGGCCUAAAACGUCCGUAGCCGGCCUUGUAAAUCCAUGUGGAAAUCGGAGGGCUCAACCCUCCGAAGGGCGUGGACACUGCAAGGCUUGGGACUGGGUGAGUUCGGAGGUACUUCCGGGGUAGGGGUGAAAUCCUGUAAUCCUGGAAGGACCACCAGUGGCGAAGGCGUCCGAAUAGAACGGAUCCGACGGUCAGGGACGAAGCCCUGGGGCGCAAACGGG
Molecule: ribosomal RNA, 253 nt
Filed under: uncultured bacterium
Lineage: Bacteria
Description: partial 16S ribosomal RNA
Rfam family: Archaeal small subunit ribosomal RNA
Source: RNAcentral